AGUGAACGCUGGCGGUAGGCCUAACACAUGCAAGUCGAACGGCAGCACAGUAAGAGCUUGCUCUUACGGGUGGCGAGUGGCGGACGGGUGAGGAAUACAUCGGAAUCUACUUUUUCGUGGGGGAUAACGUAGGGAAACUUACGCUAAUACCGCAUACGACCUACGGGUGAAAGCAGGGGAUCUUCGGACCUUGCGCGAUUGAAUGAGCCGAUGUCGGAUUAGCUAGUUGGCGGGGUAAAGGCCCACCAAGGCGACGAUCCGUAGCUGGUCUGAGAGGAUGAUCAGCCACACUGGAACUGAGACCCGGUCCAGACUCCUACGGGAGGCAGCAGUGGGGAAUAUUGGACAAUGGGCGCAAGCCUGAUCCAGCCAUACCGCGUGGGUGAAGAAGGCCUUCGGGUUGUAAAGCCCUUUUGUUGGGAAAGAAAAGCAGCAGGUUAAUACCCCGCUGUUCUGACGGGACCCAAAGAAUAAACACCGGCUAACUUCGU
This 491-nucleotide ribosomal RNA is filed under the name uncultured bacterium. RNAcentral describes it as "partial 16S ribosomal RNA". It matches the Rfam family "Bacterial small subunit ribosomal RNA", at positions 29 to 506 of the family's 1533-position model. The record is from RNAcentral.